RNAcentral lists this ribosomal RNA (305 nucleotides) under uncultured bacterium. RNAcentral's name for it is "bacterial SSU rRNA". It matches the Rfam family "Bacterial small subunit ribosomal RNA", at positions 335 to 657 of the family's 1533-position model. The record is from RNAcentral.
UGUCCUACGGGAGGCAGCAGUCGGGAAUAUUGCGCAAUGGAGGAAACUCUGACGCAGUGACGCCGCGUAUAGGAAGAAGGUUUUCGGAUUGUAAACUAUUGUCGUGAGGGAAGAAAUUGACAGUACCUCAGGAGGAAGCUCCGGCUAACUAUGUGCCAGCAGCCGCGGUAAUACGUAGGGGGCAAGCGUUAUCCGGAUUUACUGGGUGUAAAGGGAGCGUAGGCGGCGAUGCAAGUCAGAAGUGAAAGCCCGGGGCUCAACUCCGGGACUGCUUUUGAAACUGUGUUGCUAGAUUGCAGGAGAGG